This is a long non-coding RNA of Strigops habroptila (Kakapo), 1928 nucleotides long. The record is from Ensembl. NCBI's taxonomy places the organism in Eukaryota, Metazoa, Chordata, Aves, Psittaciformes, Psittacidae.
GUUGGACAGGGCCUGGAGCAACCUGGUCUAGUGGAAGGUGUUCCUGCCCAUGGCAGGGGUUUGGAACUGGGUGAGUUUUAAGGUCCCUUCCAGCCCAACCUGUCUGGGAUUCUAUGAUUCUAUACCUGAGUAUUUUGCAUUGAAACACCAAAGCUUGUUUGCAGGUGCAUUUCAGCAGCCUGCUUCCUUCUUUUAUUUACUUGUAUGUUAUUUUUAUGUCUUGAUGCAAUUCUGCUUUAUGUGUAUGGGAUGGACGCAGUCAGAUUUGGAAAGAAAUUUUGGUGCCAUCACAUGGAUGUGCUACUGGAAGCUGGGUGCCCGCACGUCUGAACCAGUCUCCAUCCGUUUUUCCCAGUUCUGCAUGGGCUGCCUGCAAGACAACAGCAUCUUUAGGUCUAGUGCAACGGUCAGAUAAGACUUGUGUGGGUCUCUGGAUACUUAUCCUAGUGAGAGGGGAACUAAAUAUUGUACCAGUGGCUUGAUCUGCCCUGUCCUGGCUGCCCAAAGUUGUGAGUCAGCCACCAUCCUAUGUGUGAUGCUCUCUAGUGAUAGAGCAAUAAGACAAUUUCAGACAAAAAUAAGGCUGCAAACUAUCACCUGGGCCAUGGAAAUGAUCAAGGAAGUCCAAACUUAAGUAUGAACUCAAGACAAAAUGGGACAGUUUCAGUGUGGCACAGAAUAUCGACAGUGCACUAUCCAUGCACUCAAAAAAGAGUUUAUUCUGGUCUCUUUGGAUAGAUACAGGUAGUUUUAGUAAAACUACCUGUUUUUCAGAUGGUAAAACUGUACCAAGCCCUGUACAGAAAAUAUCUGAGCUAAACAGAUGGUGCUUAGUCCUGCAAAAUUAUCUUACAAAUGGCUUGUGCUCUAAGCUGAUUUUAUGCAUAGCAAAUACAUUUCUAAACGAGAUUUCCUGCAUGAACCUCCACUAACAGCAAUACCUAUUACAUAAUGCCUUAAAACGGUAUACCUACUUGGAGGUAAUAAGCCUCACAAUCAGUCACUAUGGCAAAGAGUAAAUUGUCUUUUAUUCCCUUUUCAGAGGCAUAAAGGAAUACACAGAAGAAAAGAGUUUACUUCAGUUCAAGUGCAAGAUAUUAUCUUCUACUGGGGCUAAAAAUAAGAGGUUUUUCCAGUGUUGAUCUUGUUUACGGUGCUUCAUAUUGCUACUUCACUUGUCUUUUUAGUUCAAUAUAUAUGAAUUCAUUAAGACAAGAAUGUUAAUCAGCAAAAUAUCCAAAACAUUUUUGCAUUACUAUUUCUGUGUCAUUCUACCUGUAAAUAUAUUAUCCAUCUUCUCUUGAUUGAUGAGUUCCCAUCUGCAUGAGUGUAUGGCACAUGGAAUUGAAGAGAGAAGGUUUUGUCAUUUCAAGUUGUACUUAAAGUAGAAAAAUGAACAUGCUUUACAGGAAAUGUCUUUUUCUAAAAGACUUAAUAAUUCUGUGUUUCAGAGCAGCACAUAUGGCUAGUGACCUCUCUUCCCAAGGAGAAUGGCUGAGAUGUCUGUUUGGAAUUAUUCCUGGAAUUAGACCAGCAUGAAGUCUCCUUUACCAAUCUCAGAUCCACUGAAAUCAGUGAAUAAAGCUGGACGAAUCACCCUUAAACAUCAAAAUACACUUGGUGGAAUAGAAGAGCACCCAGAAAGUAAUAACACACUUAUGGGAUCCAGCCUCUUUGUUUCAAGAUGUGGAGGCAAGCAGGAACCCUUGGAAUUGAAGGCUGUCUGCCCAUGUUGAGCCUGAUCUAUCAAAUUCAGUAUUUUAUAAUAUCACCUCAUUAAGAUCCAUAUAUGCUCAGACAUACAGCAGAUAAUUCACUUGUUAUAAAUAAACAGGUACUUCUUAAUUGUUACCUACCACUAGUGUGUUUGCUUAAACUGUUAUCAAAAGAAAACCUGAAUAUAUUAUUAAAGGACAAGAUUUUUGGAG